ACUCCACCCAUUGUUUAUGAUACUCAGUGUUGCUUCGGCAGGCCUGGUCUUUGAUUGGCGGAAGCCGUAACACGCCCCCCGGAGAGCGCCUGCCGACGCCCCAACUUCAAAAUUCUUAACUAAACAUGUCUUUGUCUAAGUAAAGUCUUUAAUAAAAGCAAAACUUUCAACAACGGAUCUCUUGUGUCUCUGGCAUCGAUGAAGAACGCAGCGAAAUGCGAUAAGUAAUGCGAAUUGCAGAAUUCUCGUGAGUCAUCGAAUCUUUGAACGCACAUUGCGCCCUUUGGUAUUCCGAAGGGCAUGCCUGUUCGAGCGUCAUUUUCACCCCUCAAGCCCCCGGCUUGGUGUUGGACGGUUUGGUCCCGGGACCCCCCUGGACCCCUCCCAAAGACAAUGACGGCGGGCUGUCGCACCCCCGGUACACUGAGCAUCUUCACGGAGCACGUACCGGUCUUCAGGGACGACGGCACCCGGUCUCACACCUAUAUCUUUCAAGGUUGACCUCGGAUCAGGUAGGAAUACCCGCUGAACUUAAGCAUAU
RNAcentral lists this ribosomal RNA (541 nucleotides) under Exophiala spinifera. RNAcentral's name for it is "eukaryotic LSU rRNA". The stretch from base 162 to 318 matches the Rfam family "5.8S ribosomal RNA". The record is from RNAcentral. Lineage: Eukaryota; Fungi; Ascomycota; Eurotiomycetes; Chaetothyriales; Herpotrichiellaceae.